Molecule: ribosomal RNA, 461 nt
Filed under: uncultured Sulfuricurvum sp.
Lineage: Bacteria; Pseudomonadati; Campylobacterota; Epsilonproteobacteria; Campylobacterales; Sulfurimonadaceae
Description: bacterial SSU rRNA
Rfam family: Bacterial small subunit ribosomal RNA
Source: RNAcentral
GGAGCAUUGUUGGUUUUAAUUACGAAGAUACACGAAGUAACCUUACCUGGCCUUGACAUUGGUACGGUAACCUUAAGAGAUUAGGGGUGGCUAGCUUGCUAGAACCUACACACAGGUGCUGCACGGCUGUCGUCAGCUCGUGUCGUGAGAUUGUUGGGUUAAGUCCCGCAACGAGCGCAACCCUCGUCCUUAGUUGCUAACAGUUCGGCUGAGCACUCUAGGGAGACUGCCUUCGCAAGGAGGAGGAAGGUGAGGACGACGUCAAGUCAUCAUGGCCCUUACGGCCAGGGCUACACACGUGCUACAAUGGGGCGGUACAGAGAGCUGCGAUACCGCGAGGUGGAGCCAAUCUCUUAAAGCGUCUCUCAGUUCGGAUUGUUCUCUGCAACUCGAGAACAUGAAGCUGGAAUCACUAGUAAUCGCAGAUCAGCUAUGCUGCGGUGAAUACGUUCCCGGGUCUU